AUACGUAGGGGGCGAGCGUUGUCCGGAAUGAUUGGGCGUAAAGGGCGCGUAGGCGGCCCGGUAAGUCUGGAGUGAAAGUCCUGUUUUUAAGAUGGGAAUUGCUUUGGAUACUGUCGGGCUUGAGUGCAGGAGAGGUAAGUGGAAUUCCCAGUGUAGCGGUGAAAUGCGUAGAGAUUGGGAGGAACACCAGUGGCGAAGGCGACUUACUGGGCCGUAACUGACGCUGAGGCGCGAAAGCGUGGGGAGCGAACAGGAUUAGAUACCCUGGUAGUCCACGCGGUAAACGAUGAAUGCUAGGUGUAGGGGGUAUCGACCCCUCCUGUGCCGGAGUGAACACAAUAAGCAUUCCGCCUGGGGAGUACGGCCGCAAGGUUGAAACUCAAAGGAAUUGACGGGG
RNAcentral lists this ribosomal RNA (397 nucleotides) under uncultured bacterium. RNAcentral's name for it is "partial 16S ribosomal RNA". It matches the Rfam family "Bacterial small subunit ribosomal RNA", at positions 523 to 918 of the family's 1533-position model. The record is from RNAcentral.